ACCAGUGUGGUGUAGUGGUUUGGGUGCUGGACUAAUGCUCUGAUGACCAGGGUUCGACUCCCAGCUUGGCCA
Molecule: non-coding RNA, 72 nt
Organism: Phrynosoma platyrhinos (Desert horned lizard)
Lineage: Eukaryota; Metazoa; Chordata; Lepidosauria; Squamata; Phrynosomatidae
Source: the annotation of a GenBank genome assembly